CUGUCCACCACCACUAGCCACAAGAAUCUUCCUCUUUGGAUUAGGAGUUCGCAAGCCAGCAUGUUGCUUCACAUCAUUCUUGUGGAUGAUGACACCCAGAGGGUUCAGAUUGAAACUCUUCCAGAGAGGGUGGAUGAAUUGAAGACUUUUCUCAAGAGUAAGCUCAGUUUAGAGGGUGACAUUCACAUCCAGUUUCAAGAUCCAGAGUUCAGUAAUGAGCUGUGCAACUUGACUGACAUGUCUGAGCUACCCCCAGAGAGGCCAAGGCUGAAGAUAAUACUAAAGGCUCCACCCACUACACCCUCCUCUGUGUACUCAGUGGACACUAGUUCCUCUGACACAGCCAGUAUGUCCUCAAUAUUAUCAGUUUGUUCUCUGUCAACCCCUCGUUCCAAGCACCGGCCUGACCAUUUUGUCGUACCCUCUUUCACUUAUGAUGUUGAACUGAAGCUCAGAAAAGGAAAUGAGGCUUAUGAAAAAGAUGGUUCCCUCCUUGCUGUGACUGCUGCAAUGAAGAGAGACUUAGUUGACAGAGUAACAAGUGUUAUGUACAAGUGCAGUGCAUAUCCAACAUCAAAACAAAUUGAGGAUGUUGCCAAAGCCCUAGUUGAAAAGCAUCCCUGUCUGAGAGUUCUUCACAUGAAUGGUACUGCUGGAAGUUCAGCCUCACUUUUAAGAUGGGUAACCUCUGUCAGAAGUUCCGCAUCACUGGAUGUCCAGAGCUUACAGUCAAUUGAAAGAAGUCAACAGACACAUCAACUGGGAACAGGAAGCUGAAGAAAGCAAAACGGAGAUCGACUUCUUGCCAGAUAUUCCUGAAGAGAGGUCUCCAGACAGCCUUGAAAGUGAGAGAAUAGCUCUGACUGAGGAGAUGAAGAAAAGGAAAAGAGAUUGGAAAAUGGUUGAUUCCCUGAUGGAGAGCACCUUUGGCUUGCUAAGGAAGGAGAUUGUUGAUGAUGAGCCUCCUGUGUCUGAAAUUGAAGAUAGAUGGCCAGCAUUGUUCUCAGAAAGACAGAUUAGUGCAGAAUUCAUGCAGCUGGUUUCCACUGAUCUCCACCAGUCUUUCUUUGAUGGACUUGACAAGUACAUCCCAAGGCUGCUGGAAAUGUACAGAGUUAGAAGUAGAAGCAGUUCUGACCUGCACAUCCUGCUUCAGCCCCUUGAUGUACAAUCUUCAAACCAGAAGAGAAGAGCAACUGCUUUGCUUGGACUUCCUGAAGGAGGAUCCCUUCAAUUUAAUCUGUGCCUGCGAG
Molecule: long non-coding RNA, 1253 nt
Organism: Lates calcarifer (barramundi perch)
Lineage: Eukaryota; Metazoa; Chordata; Actinopteri; Centropomidae
Exons: 4
Source: RefSeq, a predicted model, not a curated record